RNAcentral lists this unclassified non-coding RNA (271 nucleotides) under uncultured fungus. Its description in RNAcentral is "sequence contains ITS2". Lineage: Eukaryota; Fungi. The record is from RNAcentral.
AACGCACAUUGCACCCGCCAGUAUUCUGGCGAGUAUGCCUGUUCGAGCGUCAUUUCAACCCCUCAAGCCCUGGCUGCUUGGUGUUGGGGCGUCAUCUGCAGUGCCUUUACGGCGGCUGCAGGCCCCUAAUUUUAGUGGCGGACCUGCCGAGGCCCCGAGCGCAGUAGUCUAUCUCCUCGCUCCAGGGUGCCGCGGCGGGCUCUCCUGCCGUAAAACCCCCACUAUUUACAAGGUUGACCUCGGAUCAGGUAGGACUACCCGCUGAACUUAA